This 120-nucleotide microRNA precursor is filed under the name Arabidopsis lyrata. Its description in RNAcentral is "miR3447 stem-loop (aly-MIR3447)". Lineage: Eukaryota; Viridiplantae; Streptophyta; Magnoliopsida; Brassicales; Brassicaceae. The record is from miRBase by way of RNAcentral.
GUUCAGAGACUGAUUCGUGACGAACAUAAUCAAACGAUGAAACCAUUUUAAGCUCAUCGAGAGAUUUCCUUAAAAUUGUCUCGUUGUUUGAGUGUGUUUGUUAUGAAUAAGACUCUGAAC